Molecule: RNA transcript, 3827 nt
Organism: Oncorhynchus keta (chum salmon)
Lineage: Eukaryota; Metazoa; Chordata; Actinopteri; Salmoniformes; Salmonidae
Gene name: fibroblast growth factor 13-like
Exons: 8
Source: RefSeq, a predicted model, not a curated record
GUUUAGUGCAACCGUGGAUCGAAAGCGGACUUUAAACAAUUGAUUUCCAUGCCCUAAAUGCAUUGCUUUUAUAAAACGCAUAGAGCUAAAGUUAACAUAAUCGACGGUGCAUGUGUGUUAGGGAUGGAAUACAGCGCUCAGUUUGUGGAUCCUGUUGAUCUGUGUGCUAUUUGCCCGCGUGUUAGAUGCCUUAGAAGAGCUCGUGUUGAAUAGAAUAGUCACCACAGGCUUCGAGAAAGCCAGGUUUCGUCGGUUCUAGUGGAUGGAAUUUGCGGAUACUCGAUGUGUAGACGACUGCUCAUUAGAGGUAAUCUUAAUUUGAUGCCCUUUCCGUUUGUCUCUGACGUCGACUGACACGCGCUUUGAAGCCUUGCAUUUAUUUUCGUAGUUUUUUGGUCAGUUCCUUUGUCACAGCCGACGAGGUGGUUAUUUUCGCAUGCAGCAUAGCGGUAUUCGGUUGGAAGCGUUUUUCUUUAUCAAUGUGCAUUGAUGUAGCAGAAAACGUGGAGGAGAUAAGAACCCUUAUCUCAGCACCUGGUACCUUUGGAAAGGAUUUAAUUGAAGAAACGGUCUGCAAGCGAUUGAAAGUAUUUCCAUUCUUGUCUAAAUCGGGAAUUACACGUCCAAACUGGGAUCUAUGAGCGGAAAAGUGGCGAAGCCAAAAGAAGAUAAGGAUGCUUCCAAGGUCCAGGAUGAUGCUGCUCCAGGUACCCAGGAAUACAUUAUGUUGCGGCAGGAUUCCAUCCACUCAUCGGCGGAUUUAAGGAGUAAGGGGUCCCCAUUUCGUGCUAAGUGUCACGAAAUCUUCUGCUGCCCGCUGAAGCAAGUCGUCAACAAAGAGAGCUCAGAGCCCGAAGAACCCCAGUUGAAGGGGAUUGUGACGAAGCUGUACAGUCGACAGGGCUUCCACCUGCAGCUGCAAGCCGAUGGCACCAUCGACGGGACAAAGGAGGAGGACAAUGGCUACACCAUAUUCAACCUCAUUCCAGUGGGGCUUCGAGUGGUGGCCAUCCAGGGAGUUCAGACCAAGCUCUACCUGGCCAUGAACAGUGAGGGCUUCCUGUACACAUCAGAACACUUCACCCCGGAGUGUAAGUUCAAAGAGUCGGUGUUUGAAAACUACUACGUGACCUACUCCUCCAUGAUCUACAGACAGCAGCAGUCUGGUAGGGGCUGGUACCUUGGUCUGAAUAAAGAGGGGGAGAUAAUGAAGGGAAACCACGUGAAGAAGAACAAGCCAGCAGGCCACUUCCUGCCCAAGCCUUUGAAAGGUGAGUCUGAAUAAAGAGGGGGAGAUAAUGAAGGGAAACCAUGUGAAGAAGAACAAGCCAGCAGGCCACUUCCUGCCCAAGCCUUUGAAAGGUGAGUCUGAAUAAAGAGGGGGAGAUAAUGAAGGGAAACCAUGUGAAGAAGAACAAGCCAGCAGGCCACUUCCUGCCCAAGCCUUUGAAAGGUGAGUCUGAAUAAAGAGGGGGAGAUAAUGAAGUGAAACCAUGUGAAGAAGAACAAGCCAGCAGGCCACUUCCUGCCCAAGCCUUUGAAAGGUGAGUCUGAAUAAAGAGGGGGAGAUAAUGAAGGGAAACCAUGUGAAGAAGAACAAGCCAGCAGGCCACUUCCUGCCCAAGCCUUUGAAAUGUGAGUCUGUCCAUCUUUUUAGCUAUACGGUGCUUGGCUCUAUUUUGAAGACAAUGGAGAAAAAUAGGGAAAGGUUUCUUAGCAAACUUUUCUUAAAAAAAUAUGUUUCUUGAUUAUUCUCCCAAGGCCAUUACAUUGCAAAUUAACGUUCACUAUAGCCUGGAGCACUGAGCUUUGGCAGCGGUUAUUUGUUUGAAUGGGAGACUUUCCCCCCAAAAAACACAAGCUUCUCUUUGAUUAAAUGCCCCUUUUCCCUUUACCUAUUCUCCCUCUCUUCCCCUCCCUCAAUGUGGGUAGUAUCUCCCUACUGCCUGGAGAAAGGCUGCUCUCAGCUACCCUGCCGCUGGGUGUUCUGCUCGGAGGCAAUGGUGUGUGGGCGGGGCUAUUGAGCGCUUCCCGAAAGCGAUUCAUACUUCACUGGAGCCAGACAGUGGAAAAGACAUUGGCAAUGGCCAUGGCAAAAAGCUGCAGGAAUGAUACAGUUCUGCCUGUUUUGAACAGUGACAGCUAGGCUUUUUAACGCUAAUGUCUUGGCCAACCAGGCCAGGUGCCUCAUGGGAGGAGAGGGAAAGAGGGGGUAUGAUUGGAUGCUGGAUAGAUGGAUCUGUUCAUGUUAAAAAGGCCAAACCUCUUUCAUCUAGAUCAACACACAGGCUUACCUGAACGAGAAAACAGAGCGCGAGAAAGCAUCAGUACUCCACUUCCACAAGAUGAAAGGAUGAGCUUUACAGAUGAAAAUUCCUCCUCAAUGUAAAAGAACCACUAGCGACCCAAAUUACUCAACCGACGAGAAAUGAGCACCGAGCGGCUAGCAACUUCUGUAAAAAAUCUAAUCAGACGAUCAGUCAUUCGGUCAUUUGGAUCUGUCAGUUCCAAGCUCCUUUUAUGGUUACAAUUUACAGACUAAAGAGACUGUAUCACAAAUACAUUGUUAUCCCGUUCAUGUGCGUUCUGAAAAUCAUGGUUAAAAAAGUCAAAUAAGUUGUAGUGCCUAAAUGAGGGCAGGAGGGCAUUGGAGAGUGAUGCAUGGGCAUUGAAUCCCUUUCAACCCCUUUUUCACAAGGGCAGAAAGGCACAGCAAACAGGCAGCUGUAAUGACAAUGAUGCUUUCUCUCCCAGGUUGGCUGGUCUGCUCUCAUCCACCGACCAAUCGACCAGUAGCCAUUAAAAAUCCACAUCUCUGCUCACUGAGAUCACUGUGUUGCAUUUAACAGCCCGACUAGAGAGAGAGAGAGAAUCAAGAGGGGGAGAGAGAAAGAAAAAAACAUUUGUUCCAGCAGCCCAUAAAGAUCCAGAGGCAGCAGCAAUACCAGCCGACCAAUUAAGGAGCCGUCUCUGCAUUUCAACCAUCUCCACCAGCCGCUCCUCGCUCCCCCUCUCCUCUUCGCUCUGGUUCCAGUCCACGAAUCUCAGCCCACAGCCUUUAAUUUGACCCAUCCGUGUGUUAAGGUGCUAGGUCAAAGAGGGAGAGAUACAGUAGAGAGAGAGAUGGAGGGAUAAUUGGAGGAUUGAAUUGGCUUGACUGCUUAGUAAAAGCGUAUAUGAACUAAGGAAGGAUGACCUAGAGGUCAGGGUCCAUCUCACCGCUGGGCCGGUCAUCCUUCCUGAUUAUAGUUCCUUAAUGCCGUGGAUAAUAAGCCCAGCAUCGAUUUCACACAGCUUCCCACUUAAGUCCACUAUUGAUUGACGUGUUGCUUUGUGUGUAGCCUGCUGUUAAAACCAAAAAAGCAAGGCAAUGUCAAGCCCCAGGAGGGGCAUGCAUUAAAACACUGGCUGUUUUCGGAGUGGCUCCUAAACACCAAAGAGAUCAGAACCUCUAAGGUGACUGGUGUUUCUUCUGAAAGGCUUCCGCGGUGCAGACAACACUGCUUUAACUUUUACAAGCUCCUGAAUAACUCAUGUAAGGCAGUGUCUAUAAGUACUUUCUGCCCUCUAAAAAUAACUUGUCCUAAUAUUUCUUCGGUGCUUAUGGCAGGGGUGUACAUUCUGUUAUGAGCGUCAGUGACAGGAUCCGAGGGAGUUGAGCAAUAGAAGAGAAUAGAAUACAACUUGGUCCCACCAAAGAGGAGAACGUGAAUCUCCAGAUGGACAAUACAAUUAUAUUCCAGUGUAUUCUUUUGUAUUCUAUUCUACUGCUCACCUCCAUCUAUAUACUAUCAGCCAUGUGUCUUACCAUUCUCCUGUCUGUCUGU